GCGGCUGUAGCUCAGUGGUAGAGCGCCACCUUGCCAAGGUGGAUGUCGAGGGUUCAAGUCCCUUCAGCCGCUCCA
Molecule: transfer RNA, 75 nt
Filed under: Pseudomonadota bacterium
Lineage: Bacteria; Pseudomonadati; Pseudomonadota
Also listed under: 2 other names
Description: tRNA-Gly
Rfam family: tRNA
About the family: Transfer RNA (tRNA) molecules are approximately 80 nucleotides in length. Their secondary structure includes four short double-helical elements and three loops (D, anti-codon, and T loops).
Source: RNAcentral